Long non-coding RNA from Anas platyrhynchos (mallard), 4805 nucleotides. RefSeq lists it as uncharacterized. The record is from RefSeq and is a predicted model, not a curated record. Lineage: Eukaryota; Metazoa; Chordata; Aves; Anseriformes; Anatidae.
UACCACAAUUUUAUAAACAUAACAGAAAGGAAGCCUUAACACCAAAUUUCUCUAAAAAUGUUAAUAGACAGCUAGCCAAUUGGUGGUAACCCUUGUCCAAGCUUCUGCUUCUAAGGUAUGAGAAAGUGCUUUCUGCCCUGCAGAACCACCUGUGUUCAACAGCCGAGGACUGUUGCUGUAGGGCAUGUAGAUCUUUAUUAUCUAAUCGCUAAUCCCUUAUUAUCUAAACAUAUUAUAGGCUGUAUUGUUACAAGUAAGGCAAGAAUUAUUUUGUCACCACCUUCCCAGGCAGACUGGAUCUAAGCCUGUGGAGCCAAACCAGCCCCACCUCAUUCUGUGGUCACUCCUAGCUGCACUGGUUCAUUCCUUUCUUUCAUCUUGAUUUUCCUUUUAUUCUCAUCUCUUCUGACCUCACUUUGGCAACCAGACGUACUUUCUAAAACAUUCUAUGAGGAGUUCUUAUAACAUGUACAAAAGCCUAUUAGCAUUACUACAUCUCCUCAGGCAUCCUCUUUCUCCAUUUCUGCCUUUUUCUUUAUGUAAGUAUCAAUCAAUCUCUCUCUCUCUCCUUUUUUUUUUUAACUGAUGUUUGCACACCACUUAGUCUAAUAGGGUUUUGGUCUCUCAGGUGCAGCUGCAUGGAGCAGUAACCCGGUAGGAUAUAUGAAGCAGACAGGUGUAAUUUAAGCCCCUGGCAAAUACAAAUGAAAAGAGAAGCUGAGCAAAAGUAGAAAACCCACCGCUACUAUUUGAGGUAGUCAGAAUUAGCUAUCAGACCAGGCACUGGACCUGCAGUAAACAGGAAACGUACCCAUCAGAUGUGUUCAUAUUAGGCAUUAAAUAUAUCACGACAGUGCCAAGAAGCUUAGCGCACUGGGUGAUACCUAAACAGCCACCAGAUGAAGCUUCUGUCAGAGGGGGAUUUUCACUGUGAGCCAAAUAGGUUUUAUAAAAUAGGAAAAUAUCUCUAGGAACAGGUUUAUAGUGAAAAAAAUAUCGUUAUGAUUUUUUAGCUUGGGCAUAAUGCUCAACAAAACUCCCAUGUUUCAUGUUUCUGUUGCCAGGCUGGAAAUUAAAGGGUUUGGUUAUAGCCACCAAAACACAAAAGCAGCAGAUAUUUCAUGCUUUCGUCUCUGCAACCCACUCAGUAGCUUUUACAAGUAAACAACCUGCCACAUGGAAUACUCACUGUAAAGCCUACACUCUUUUGUUAGGACUAAGUUGUCCAAUGACAAUGUUUUACGGAUUCCUUCCCUUUCAGGAAAAAUAAAUUAAUUGGCCAAGCAAUUCCUCUUCAUAUCAUACUGUGCUAUUCCUCAUUCCUGCAUAACAUUGUCUUCUCUGGAUAAAUAACAUUUGACUUUCACAUUUUGAGACCUGCUUCUAGAUGCCUUUCAGAUUGCUGUACCUCACCAGUUUGUUAUCAUGGACGCCUAUCUCAGAAGGAUGCUUUAAAAACUUCUGUUUAUUUCAGUCUCACAGGCUGCUCUGACGUGCAGAUAUCUGCAAAUCUGUAAGGUAUGAAUCAUCUCACACAUUGCCGAGGUGAAACCUGACAACUAUUUAACAGCACCACUGCAACACUAUGGAACAUUUUAAGACAGGAAAUUAAGAAUACCUGAGCCAACGAAAGCCACAGGGGAAAGUUUAGAUGGACAGAAUGUAAUUACCCAUGCUGGAACUUGGCCAGGACACCAGAACUUACACCCCAACCCUCCUGUAAAGUGCCAUCGGACCCUUAAUGCUAACAAAUGGUCGCAACAUCAGCUUUAGAUCUGCUCCAAAUGAGAACAGCACUAAAAGUCAUCCAAGACCUUCUGAGGUAUUCAUUUACUAGUGACUGACAGAAAAGGGUACAACAUACCUAAUCACACAAAACAGCUAUAGCACAACAUGAAAAAUACCUUCCCUAGCAGCACUGGAGGCUAGUUCUCUCGACACAGCUCAAUAUUUUUAGAAGAACUCGGUGUAUUUUCAGAAAUGCAUCAAUGAUUUUGUUAAAAAAAAAAAAAAAAAAAAAAAAAAGCACAUUUCAUUAUCUCAGAACUCAAAGUAUAUCCUUAUGGCCCCUAUGGAGCGCCCAGAUAUACUGAUAUACUUCAGUUCUUAGCUUCUUGCUUCUUGCCAUUUGUAGUGUGGAAAAGAGAUGUAUAUUGAAUAUCAGAGUGCUGACUUUAAAGGGAAGAUAAAAGCCUGAAAGUAUAUACUGCUUUGCUUCUCACAUUGUUUUUCUAAGGAAAACUGUAUACUGUUUAACAUUUAUUUUUGGCAAAGCUAAAAUUUUCUGUGGGUUAUCUUUUCUAUAAGAACUGGAUUUCUACAAAUUGUGAUUCUUGAAAUUCCUUAGGCUGAGGAAUUAUGUCAGCCCUGAAAAACAUGGGUUCAUUAUUCACAUCGUGUUACACUGCUGACAUAAUUCCCUAACAGAGUGGGACAUGAGGUGUCCCAGUUUGAUACUUCAACCUACAGUCAAUGCUUUCGGCUUCUCUAAAUAGUAAACAGUUUUGUGUGUGAGUUCCUGUUUUAAAAAUCCUUUGAGCAGUAUAUCUAUAUUAAAAAAAGAAAAUCUGGGUUAGCUGUGGGCCACCAGCAAUUUAUCAGGCAGUAUUAGUUAUGUCUGUGGGAUAUUUUUCAUUAUCUGAGGAUUAUUAAUAGAGACACCGUAUACAUAGUGAUUAUUCCUUGACUAAUAAUUGAGAUAAUAUCGAUAUGAAGCCCAGUUUCAUUAACACCUUACUAAAGAGACUAUGAUUGUGAAGGGUAUUUUUUCCCUCCAAUUUGUAAUCAAAAGUUAUUUAAUAGUAAAAUCAGUCUUCACUUGUAACAGAGGUUGUGGACUUUGGGAGUUGGCAGAGCCAGCUGCUGGGCUGCUGGGAGCCAGACUCUUUUUGAUCUUCAUAUUGAAUGGUUUCCUUUGAUCACCUUGACAAUAGAUCAUAAAAGAACAGAGCUUUUACCCAUAUCUCCCUAAAUUUGCAGGUAAAUAAUGAGAUGGUCUGAACUGAGGCUGGAGUGUAAGAUUUUUAACAAACAAUUCUCCCCUUUGAAGUAGACUUAGCAAAAUUAGCAUAUAAAUGAGCAAUGCUGCUACAUAAGGACAUGUGGCUGAAGAAUAGGGAUAAUUGGACUGAGGGGGUUAGUUUCUAAAUGAGGUCGUUUGCUAAAUGACCAGCAGUUAGACUACAGGUGUGUUAAUUUGGUGAGUUGAAGAUGAGAUUUAAACAAUGGGGUAUGCAAAAGUCAGGGACCCCCAGCAGGUGUGGGGAGGAUUGUAGCUUUGUAGCUGAGCAGGGACCUGCAGAGUUGGAUGGGAGGCAGUGCAGGUGACAGGGACUACUCUGACACAGACCAUACCUCUGUAGGCACAGGUAUCCUAACUGGCACUGUAAUGUCAGGCUGUGGUCCAUCACAUUAAUAUUCAUGAUGAUUGUCUUUAAAUAUACAAUGCUAUUCAAAAUGCUCAUCAAUAAGUCUCUUCAAAGCUGCAGCAGGAGCUCUGUUUUUAGUGUCUGUGAAGAAGGACUGGGAUGUCGAAAUAUCUGCACUGGUGGCUGCUGCCAGGGGCCGAACUCAAUGUGAAAAGCCAGAACCACGGCUGAGCAUUGUAGUAACAGCUUACCACUGUAUUAACAGCUCUGAGCCUCUCAGCUUUUCAUUUCACCAAAAUUGUGGGAAUUUUGCCUACACCAGAGAGAAGUUUCCACAUUAUCAUAGGGUACCUUGAGCUCUCUCCUCUCUCCAUGACAGGGACAAACCUCCUGCCACCAAAAUGACCCUGUCCUUCCAUGGUACAGACAUAAGACUGGAGCAUUCUCAGUAACAGAGUUUUCUGAUUUUAAAAAUGAAAAAUAAGUUAAAUUUUGUAAUAUGAUUUAAAUCACCUUUCAAGCAAAGUUUCGGGAAAUCCUUGAAAGAAACAUACUCAGUUCACUGGGACUUGCUUCUUUAUGUACUUUAACAACAGCCAGAUUUAGGAUUGACAGGGAGUAGAUGAAGGGAUCAUGGUCCUGAUGACACUUGAACAGCCAAAGGGAUAGCAUUUUCUGGGUGGCUUCAAACCUGACCUUGAGUUCUCCCCCUGACUGGUUUGGAGAAAAGACAAGCACUGAGUAUCUGUGGAGGGCGUCAGCAUCCUCUGGGUGCAGCAACACUCUCCUGGUCCAGGCACUGUUGGGUUUGGUUUUGCCUUUCAACAAGAGAAGAUGAGAUCACUCUCCCUCCUGUGUAACCCUUGUGUAACAUGGAGACUGAGAACUGAAUCCAGCUUUUUAACACCUUAAGUGUUAAGGACAACGUUUUUGCCAAAAUAUAAAUUACCUCUAGCCUCUUGUGAAUUAAACUUGAAUCAGCGUUUCUGAACUGCUUUCCCCCACCCUAAUUCUCCUUUCUUGCCCUUGGAGACCUGUCUGGAUGGCACUCUGUACUACUGGUGAGCGUAGAUGCUGUCUGGGGUCUUUCUCUGCUGGAGCAGAGUCAGAGGUAUUUUUAGGAAGUAAAGAUGGGCUGGUGGGCUUCAGCAGUGUAUUGGCUUUUAUGUGGCUGGGAGGGGGGAGGUGUGUGUGUGGGUGGGGGGCACAGGGAUAGCCUCUAUGAGAAGAAACCAGAAGCUGCCCCAUGUUAGAUAAAGGCCAGUUUCAGCUGGCUCCAAAGGGACCCACUGCUGGCCAGAGCUGAGCCAAUAAGCAAUGCUGUUUGCACCUCGGAGACAGUAGACUGAAGAAAGGGAAAAAUACUGCUGGGCAACAGCAGCUGGGAGAGCAAGGAGUGAGAAAUGGCCCCGCAGUGAGUGCAGGAGGGCAGGAGGU